Molecule: long non-coding RNA, 253 nt
Organism: Mauremys reevesii (Reeves's turtle)
Lineage: Eukaryota; Metazoa; Chordata; Testudines; Geoemydidae
Exons: 3
Source: RefSeq, a predicted model, not a curated record
GAAUAAUUACAUACUUCGUUUCUUCCACUGAUUUCUUGGCAUAGUGAUCAUGAAUGAAUCCAAAAUGCUACUUUAUAAGGUCUCCCAUAAGAGAAAUUUUUCAAUUUGAUGAAGGAGAGAAGUUGCUCACAGAAAAAAAAUUAUCAUCAGUGUUCCUAGGGAUUUCUGUGAAUAGUUUCCAGCUGCCUACCAUACCAACUUUUGUAGAAUUUUAACGUCUUGCCUGAAGCAACUCGGAGGCCCUAAUACCUUG